AACGCACCUUGCGCUCCCUGGUAUUCCGGGGAGCAUGCCUGUUUGAGUGUCAUGGUAUUCUCAACCUUCAUAACUUUUGUUAUCGAAGGCUUGGACUUGGAGGUUGUGCUGGCUUCUAGUUAAGUCGGCUCCUCUUAAAUGUAUUAGCGUGAGUGUAACGGAUCGCUUCGGUGUGAUAAUUAUCUGCGCCGUGGUCGUGAAGUAACAUAAGCUUGCGCUUCUAACCGUCCUUCAGUUGGACAAUUACUUUGACAUCUGACCUCAAAUCAGGUAGGACUACCCGCUGAACUUAA
RNAcentral lists this unclassified non-coding RNA (293 nucleotides) under uncultured fungus. Its description in RNAcentral is "partial contains 5.8S ribosomal RNA, internal transcribed spacer 2, and large subunit ribosomal RNA". The stretch from base 1 to 52 matches the Rfam family "5.8S ribosomal RNA", at positions 103 to 154 of the family's 154-position model. The record is from RNAcentral. Lineage: Eukaryota; Fungi.